AAGCAGCAGCAGCAUCUGAGAGCAGAAAUGAGAGGCCCUGGCAGGACUACAAAGGGCUCCAGAGGAGCAGGUACGCCGGGGAUGAGGUCAAGUUCUGCCCUGAUUUACACCCCACAACCUGGCAGCAGCUAAAGUUUUGCAGACAACCCAACGAGAUAAUCAUCACAUGCUGGCAAUCACUUGCCAUCAAUUAUCCCCACGCUGCUGCUGUCAGUGGAUCACAGCCCCUACC
Molecule: long non-coding RNA, 232 nt
Organism: Serinus canaria (Common canary)
Lineage: Eukaryota; Metazoa; Chordata; Aves; Passeriformes; Fringillidae
Exons: 3
Source: RefSeq, a predicted model, not a curated record